UAGGGAAUCUUCGGCAAUGGGGGCAACCCUGACCGAGCAACGCCGCGUGAGUGAAGAAGGUUUUCGGAUCGUAAAGCUCUGUUGUAAGUCAAGAACGAGUGUGAGAGUGGAAAGUUCACACUGUGACGGUAGCUUACCAGAAAGGGACGGCUAACUACGUGCCAGCAGCCGCGGUAAUACGUAGGUCCCGAGCGUUGUCCGGAUUUAUUGGGCGUAAAGCGAGCGCAGGCGGUUUGAUAAGUCUGAAGUUAAAGGCUGUGGCUCAACCAUAGUUCGCUUUGGAAACUGUCAAACUUGAGUGCAGAAGGGGAGAGUGGAAUUCCAUGUGUAGCGGUGAAAUGCGUAGAUAUAUGGAGGAACACCGGUGGCGAAAGCGGCUCUCUGGUCUGUAACUGACGCUGAGGCUCGAAAGCGUGGGGAGCGAACAGGAUUAGAUACCCUGGUAGUCCACGCCGUAAACGAUGAGUGCUAGGUGUUGGAUCCUUUCCGGGAUUCAGUGCCGCAGCUAACGCAUUAAGCACUCCGCCUGGGGGGUACGACCGCAAGGUUG
RNAcentral lists this ribosomal RNA (550 nucleotides) under uncultured bacterium. Its description in RNAcentral is "bacterial SSU rRNA". It matches the Rfam family "Bacterial small subunit ribosomal RNA", at positions 355 to 896 of the family's 1533-position model. The record is from RNAcentral.